CAAUAUAAAUUAAAUGGACAACUGCAUUUAACUAAAUGUAGACAGACCAAUGUGAUUCUCAUUUCAAAAUAAAUGUUUAUACAAAAAGCUAAAAUUUUAGUAUACAUUCUAAUACUUUUUCAGUAAGAAGAAUGAUUAAUCAAUUUAUUUUACAUUAAUAGUUAUAGUUUUCAGAUGAACGAUAAUAUCAAAAGUAAUGAUAAUUAUUUUUUUUUACUUCUAAUAUAGUUCUUAUGUAGCUAUUAUAAGUUAUAAGUUUUCCAUUCAAUAGACUAGUCCUUGUAUAAUUUUGUUAAAUAUAAACUUCUUUUGUAUUCAUUGUAAUUCUGUUACAAGAAUUUUUCAAUAGUUUUAUUCUAUACAAAUCACAUGGCUUCAUCAAUUAGGAUGCUCAUGGUAACUAAUGAUAAGAUUAUUUAAGUAUUCAUGCUUUAUUUACUUAUUCUACUUUAUGUAUUCAUAUUUCUUAUAUUAAGCAUUUAUUUUAAUCAAUAAAAAAUUUAUAUAUCAAAUAUUAUUAACAUAUGAAGGACCUUAAGAUUAUUUAAUUCAAACAAGGGAAGGAAAAAAGUUUAAAUUACUAAUAUGUUGUGUUUACUAAUUAACGUAUGAAGGGCCUUAAGUUUAAAAAGUUUAAAUUACUAAUAUUUUUCUAAUUAACAUAUGAAGGGCCUUAAGAUGGUUUAGAUGUUUGGAUAAGGCCCUAAGUGAUUUAGAUGUUGGGAUAAAAGUUUAAAUUACUAAUAUGUUGUGUUUACUAAUAAGGCCCUAACCUUAAUUAGUGGGUUGUUGACAGUGGUUGAUGAGAGGACCAAGAAGAGGCCACAGAUUUAAAAAAAGUGUUAAAGCAGUGUUAAAGAGAUUGAGAAGUUGGGCCCAAAUAAAGUUGUCAUAAGUCAAUUAGUGAAAGAUAUUUUGCAAAACAUAGUGGAUGAUUUUAUUAUUAGGCACUUUUGUGAGUUCAUUUUCCUUCAUACAAUCCAAGAAGGGUUUUGCUUUGGUAUAAACUUAAUACAAAGUUAAUUU
Long non-coding RNA from Zingiber officinale, 1026 nucleotides. RefSeq lists it as uncharacterized. Lineage: Eukaryota; Viridiplantae; Streptophyta; Magnoliopsida; Zingiberales; Zingiberaceae. The transcript is spliced from 2 exons. The record is from RefSeq and is a predicted model, not a curated record.